RNAcentral lists this ribosomal RNA (523 nucleotides) under uncultured bacterium. Its description in RNAcentral is "bacterial SSU rRNA". It matches the Rfam family "Bacterial small subunit ribosomal RNA", at positions 8 to 524 of the family's 1533-position model. The record is from RNAcentral.
AGAGUUUGAUCAUGGCUCUUAUUGAACGCUGGCGGAAUGCUUUACACAUGCAAGUCGAACGGCAGCAUAGGUGCUUGCACCUGAUGGCGAGUGGCGAACGGGUGAGUAAUACAUCGGAACGUGCCCAGUCGUGGGGGAUAACGUAGCGAAAGUUACGCUAAUACCGCAUACGAUCUACGGAUGAAAGCGGGGGACCGUAAGGCCUCGCGCGAUUGGAGCGGCCGAUGUUAGAUUAGGUAGUUGGUGGGGUAAAGGCUCACCAAGCCGACGAUCUAUAGCUGGUCUGAGAGGAUGAUCAGCCACACUGGGACUGAGACACGGCCCAGACUCCUACGGGAGGCAGCAGUGGGGAAUUUUGGACAAUGGGCGCAAGCCUGAUCCAGCCAUUCCGCGUGCAGGACGAAGGCCUUCGGGUUGUAAACUGCUUUUGUACAGAACGAAAAGCUCUGGGUUAAUACCCUGGGGUCAUGACGGUACUGUAAGAAUAAGCACCGGCUAACUACGUGCCAGCAGCCGCGGUAAU